UCGAGAGGCUUCGGCAAUGGGCGAAAGCCCGACCGAGCGACGCCGCGUGGGCGAUGAAGGCCUUCGGGUCGUAAAGCCCUGUCACAGGGGGGAGAACCACAUCCAGCUGAAUAGGCUGGGUGCCUGACGUUGCCCCUGGAGAAAGACCCGGCUAACUCCGUGCCAGCAGCCGCGGUAAUACGGAGGGGUCAAGCGUUAUUCGGAUUUACUGGGCGUAAAGGGCGCGUAGGCGGGAUCACGGGUCGGCCGUGAAAUCCACCGGCUCAACCGGUGAACUGCGGUCGAAACUGCGAUUCUUGAGCUUGGUAGAGGAAGGCGGAAUUCCUGGUGUAGCGGUGGAAUGCGUAGAUAUCAGGAAGAACACCGGUAGCGAAGGCGGCCUUCUGGGCCAUGGCUGACGCUGAGGCGCGAAAGCUGGGGGAGCAAACAGG
This 431-nucleotide ribosomal RNA is filed under the name uncultured bacterium. Its description in RNAcentral is "bacterial SSU rRNA". It matches the Rfam family "Bacterial small subunit ribosomal RNA", at positions 355 to 776 of the family's 1533-position model. The record is from RNAcentral.